Molecule: ribosomal RNA, 460 nt
Filed under: uncultured bacterium
Lineage: Bacteria
Description: partial 16S ribosomal RNA
Rfam family: Bacterial small subunit ribosomal RNA
Source: RNAcentral
CCUACGGGAGGCAGCAGUGAGGAAUAUUGGUCAAUGGACGAGAGUCUGAACCAGCCAAGUAGCGUGAAGGAUGACUGCCCUAUGGGUUGUAAACUUCUUUUAUAUGGGAAUAAAAUGUUCCACGUGUGGGAUUUUGUAUGUACCAUAUGAAUAAGGAUCGGCUAACUCCGUGCCAGCAGCCGCGGUAAUACGGAGGAUCCGAGCGUUAUCCGGAUUUAUUGGGUUUAAAGGGAGCGUAGGUGGAUUGUUAAGUCAGGUGUGAAAUUUUGCGGCUCAACCGUAAAAUUGCAGUUGAAACUGGCAGUCUUGAGUACAGUAGAGGUGGGCGGAAUUCGUGGUGUAGCGGUGAAAUGCUUAGAUAUCACGAAGAACUCCGAUUGCGAAGGCAGCUCACUGGACUGCAACUGACACUGAGGCUCGAAAGUGUGGGUAUCAAACAGGAUUAGAUACCCCAGUAGUC